CUCCUACGGGAGGCAGCAGUGGGGAAUAUUGGGCAAUGGGGAAACCCUGACCCAGCAAUGCCGCGUGGAGGAAGAAGCCUUUCGGGGUGUAAACUCCUUUUGCAGGGGAAGAAACUGACGGUACCCUGCGAAUAAGCUCCGGCUAACUCCGUGCCAGCAGCCGCGGUAAUA
RNAcentral lists this ribosomal RNA (171 nucleotides) under uncultured bacterium. RNAcentral describes it as "partial 16S ribosomal RNA". It matches the Rfam family "Bacterial small subunit ribosomal RNA", at positions 336 to 525 of the family's 1533-position model. The record is from RNAcentral.